UUUGUGGAGUGGAGAACACAACGCCACCUCUCUUUCCUUCUCUUCUCUCUCUCUCUCUCUCUCUCUCUCUCUCUCUCUCUCUCUCUCUUGUUUUUAUUAUUAUUUUUAUUUAUAAUAAUUAAAUUUUAUCAUUUAUUGUUGGUGUUAUUAUUGUUGUUGUUGAUGUAGUUAAUGUUGUUGUUGUUGUUGGGGUUGGAAGAAACUUGAUCUCAUAACAGAAAGAAAGACACACAGAAAAAGAGUGAGUGUGUUUUAGUGAUACUGAUGAAUGAGUGUUGUGUGCAAAUGGGGUUCUAUAUUCUCAUACCUUCUUCAUAAUCAUGUAUAAUUACUCCAACCACACACAUAAUAAUAAUAUUAAUUAUAAUAUUAAUCAUACUCAUAAUAAUAAUCUUCAUCUUCAUAUAUGGAAUUCGAUGCUGCAAUUCCCAUGUCCCGUGAAGGCAUCCCUCAAGAUGCAAUGUGGCAAAUGAACUUGAGGUCGAGUGAAACGAUGGAACCUGGACCUUAUCCUGAGCAUCCAGGAGAACCAGAUUGUUCAUAUUACAUCAGAACAGGACUCUGUAGAUUCGGAGCAACAUGUCGAUUUAACCAUCCUCCUAACAGGAAACUGGCUAUUGCCGCUGCACGGAUGAAAGGAGAGUUCCCAGAAAGGAUAGGGCAGCCAGAAUGUCAGUAUUAUCUGAAGACAGGAACUUGCAAAUUCGGAGCCACAUGCAAGUUUCAUCAUCCUAGAGACAAGGCCGGGAUUGCUGGAAGAGUUGCUUUAAAUAUUUUAGGCUAUCCACUCCGCCCGAAUGAGGCGGAAUGUGCUUACUAUUUAAGAACCGGACAGUGCAAAUUUGGGAACACUUGCAAAUUCCAUCAUCCUCAACCAAGUAAUAUGGUGCUUUCAAUGCGCAGUUCUCCUGUUUAUCCCACCGUUCAUUCUCCAACAACGCCAGGUCAGCAGUCAUAUGCAGCAGGAAUUACAAAUUGGUCGAGUUCAUCCUACAUUGCUAGUCCACGCUGGCAAGGUCCGUCGAGUUAUGCAUCUUUGAUUCUACCUCAGGGAGUGGUUUCGGUACCUGGCUGGGGUGCAUACAAUGGUCAAAUGGGAUCAGACAGUACACAACAAUCAGUUGGAAAUGGUCAAACAUAUGCAUCCUCUCGUCAAGGCGAAUCGGCAAAUGCAGGAUCCCAAGGAGCAUAUUCUCAAUACCGUUCUGGAUCAGUUCCUGUAGGUUUCUAUGCAUUGCAGAGGGAGAACAUAUUUCCUGAAAGACCUGGCCAGCCUGAAUGCCAAUUCUACAUGAAGACCGGAGAUUGUAAGUUCGGUGCAGUCUGUCGUUUCCAUCAUCCGCGUGAGAGGCUGAUUCCUGCUCCUGAUUGUCUUUUGAGUCCAAUUGGCCUUCCUUUACGUCCGGGAGAGCCAUUGUGUGUCUUUUACUCGCGAUAUGGUAUAUGCAAAUUCGGCCCGAGUUGCAAGUUCGACCACCCCAUGGGAAUCUUUGCCUAUAAUAUGUCUACAUCACCCUCAGCUGAUGCUUCAGGACGACGAAUGUUGGGUUCUUCAUCAGGAACCGCGGCAUUAAAUUUAUCACCAGAAGGACUUGUUGAGUCAGGCUCUGCGAAGCCAAGGAGGCUUUCGUUGUCGGAGACUAGACAACUUCCUUCCAGUGAUGAUAACAUUGAUGAUGAGGGAUAAUGAUGUCUCUUGGAAAUGCAUCAUCUGCCUUUUACGAUUUUUUUUCAGGGGAGAAAAGGGUAAUCUGUAAAUCGAUUUUCCCGUUGCUGGAGAUGUACAGAGUUCAUGUUAAGCUGAUUCUGCCAACCUGCUAUUGACCGCGGUUACCGGAUUCAGUUUUUCUGGAAUUUCAUGCUGCCAGAUUGUAUAAAUUUCACAAAAUACUUGUCACAUUUGGUUCAAAACCUGAUGUGAACAUUUCUUCUGUCCUUAAAACUGGUUUAUCUAUUUAACAUUUUGCCAAUAUGUAAAAAAUGUUUCUGGAAAUCUAUAAUAAUCAGGAAUUUGGCUCCUGGCUGAAUCUUUGUUUCAUGCAGGUCUGAAAUUCAUUUCAAACGCUUUUACUUUCUCCGGGGAAAAAAAAAAAAGUUCGGUUUAUACCGAACUACUUUGUGUGUAUAGAAAAUCAUUUUCGCUGGCAGCCAAUAGUAGGAUGUUCAAUAUCCUUUUAUGAUUCAUAUUUUUUGUACAUUCCUAGCCAAGUUUAACAGAACUCCAAGCAAGUCGAAAGUCGAAAAAAGCUGCUGUUUCAGAACUUAACCUAAGCUGAAGGAUAAAGAAUCUAAACUGUGAAUUUUAGAGGCAGAAGAAGCAGAACAUGUGACUGUUGUUUUGGCCGAAGGUGCUCGCAGCUUGCUCUUUUGAUUCCGAAUGGUUAAAGGUGGGUAUCUUGGCAUUUUCUGGCUUAGAAUUCGGUUUACAAUUCACAUGCAACUAAAUCAUAGAUUCAUAGUUGGGAAUUUGAAUCUCUUUUCAUGGAGGCUUUGUAAAGCAGCAGCAAUUUCUGUGGCUAAAGAUGCAUGUUCUUUGAUAUUUUUCGCCACUGAGUCUGAUGCUUGUUAUGAAUAAGUUCAUGCAGGUACAUGGCCAAUUCUUUCUUUCUUUCUUUCUUUUUCUGAUUCUUAGAGAAUUUUGUGAUGAAAAUUGUCAUGUCACAAUUUGUGCUAAUCUUUCUUCUUCUUGGGAGUCUUGGAACAACGAUUGAGUUAUCACCAUAUAACCUCAAGAUCACGGUUUUAAGUCUUGGAAACAGUCACUGAUGUAAUUAUUAGUUUAGACUGCGUAUAUUACACCCUUUGGAUGCGGCUCUUCCCUGAAACCCUGGGUUAACACAGGAUACUUGUUCACCGGGCUGGCUUUUUUUUUUCUUCUUCCUUAAGAUAUUGGAGACAAACUUAAAAAAAUUGUCUCUAUCUUAGACUAAUUUUAAGAUAAUUUUUGUGGUUUCAAAACAGUGACAUAAGAUAAGAGACAUGUCCGUUUCUAAGCCAAUUUUUGUAGAUGUUGACAACUGUGUCCUAAAUAGGUAUUCUUC
RNA transcript from Arachis stenosperma, 3041 nucleotides. It is a transcript of the gene named zinc finger CCCH domain-containing protein ZFN-like, with no coding region annotated. Lineage: Eukaryota; Viridiplantae; Streptophyta; Magnoliopsida; Fabales; Fabaceae. The transcript is spliced from 8 exons. The record is from RefSeq and is a predicted model, not a curated record.